GACAGAGGUGGCAAGCGUUGUUCGGAAUUACUGGGCUUAAAGGGCGCGUAGGCGGUUGUGCAAGUCUGGUGGUGGAAUCUCGGGGCUCAACUCCGGGGCUGCCCUGGAAACUGCAUAACUUGAGUAAGUGAGGGGAGGGCGGAAUUCCCGGUGUAGCGGUGAAAUGCGUAGAUAUCGGGAGGAAGGCCGGUGGCGAAGGCGGCCCUCUGGCACUUAACUGACGCUGAGGCGCGAAAGCGUGGGGAGCAAACAGG
Molecule: ribosomal RNA, 254 nt
Filed under: uncultured bacterium
Lineage: Bacteria
Description: partial 16S ribosomal RNA
Rfam family: Bacterial small subunit ribosomal RNA
Source: RNAcentral